CCCUACACAACGUUGCGAAUGAAGCCAGAAUUAGUAAAAACGGUAUAUAACAACAGGCAAAAUUUAUAUGAGCUGGCAAAGCCCGAAAUCCAUAUUUAAAAACGAUAAAUUGACGAAAACUUUUUUUUUCGUCAUAGGAUAAAUAAAUUAUUAAGAUUUCGUUAUAUGCUACUCAAAUUUCAAAGUAACUCCCAACAAAAAAACAACAAUGAAAAUGAUUAAGAACACAGUGAUGAGCUACAACGCAAAACCGGAAGAAAAGAGAAACCGACCAACACAACAAAAUUUCACCCUACUGGCUCACAGAUGCGAGUGUCAUUGAAACCUCCACAUAAACGAAUACGACCCCACCCCAGCUCUUUUACUCUAAUACCGAUAUUCGUCCGCCCCUCCAUUUCCGCGAGUACAGAAACGCACUUUCCACGCCAUCCUAGACCAGACACAUCGUAGCAGUCAACUAUACAGGACCACUACAGGACCGACGCUCGUCCAAGAAGAGAAUAACACGCGCCCCAUCGGACUCUGUCAAUUGUCUACAUUUUACGUCUGAUCAACGAAUCCACGACGAGGGAUUUUUCCCACCCAUGUGCAAUACAAAAAAACUUGGAUUAUCAGAGAGGGGUAUCCGGUAUAACCACCAGCACCGAACUUCCGAAGCGUUUACUUCUUCGAGUUUAGUGUGACAGCGUGCAAGUGUGCUCUAUCAGAUAACAUUUCUACGAGAUAGAAUUUCGAUUCGUCAUUUUCGUUGAUGAAUGGUGAAGAUUAAGGUGAUCUGUCAGUUGUUUGCUCGGUGAACAUCCUGUUACACUUGGACAUUCUUGAUUUUUCUCAAGAAAAAUCAAAGUUACGCUUUGUUCUCUGAUAAUAUAAGAGAAUAAGAAUCGACAAUGGGGAAAAAAGG
This is a long non-coding RNA of Venturia canescens, 904 nucleotides long. RefSeq lists it as uncharacterized. The transcript has 2 exons. The record is from RefSeq and is a predicted model, not a curated record. Lineage: Eukaryota; Metazoa; Arthropoda; Insecta; Hymenoptera; Ichneumonidae.